AGUAACCUUUCUAAGAAGGAGGCGGCAGCCAAUAGAACCUUUCUUUCUUUUUUCUUUUUUUUUUUUUCCUCUCCCCACUUCUUACUAGAGAAAUUCGUGUUACCUCAGCAAUUAAGGAGAAGAGCCAGCAUCUAGGGUUCCAGGCUCUGAGGGGGAGUAGCAACUUGUACCAGCAGCAAUACCUGCCAGGACCUUCAGCUGAGCUUGCAGGAGAUGCAGAGAGGCUUCACUGAGUCUUCACAAAGGGAAGAAAUUUCAAAUUAAUAAUUAGGGUGCGUAAAUCUUCUGUCCCUUCUGCAGGGGAAAGGAAACAUUAUCCGUCUGGGUGACCACUAUUCCUUGCAACAUGAAACAACACAGCAACGUCUGUAAUUCAAUGGGAAGUGUUAA
This 390-nucleotide long non-coding RNA is filed under the name Zonotrichia albicollis (white-throated sparrow). Its description in RNAcentral is "lncRNA (ENSZALG00000018251.1)". The record is from RNAcentral. Lineage: Eukaryota; Metazoa; Chordata; Aves; Passeriformes; Passerellidae.